UACGUAGGGUGCGAGCGUUGUCCGGAAUUAUUGGGCGUAAAGGGCUCGUAGGCGGUUUGUCGCGUCGGGAGUGAAAAUCCAGGGCUUAACUCUGGACUGGCUUCCGAUACGGGCAGACUAGAGGUAUGCAGGGGAGAACGGAAUUCCUGGUGUAGCGGUGAAAUGCGCAGAUAUCAGGAGGAACACCGAUGGCGAAGGCAGGUCACUGGGCCGCAACUGACGCUGAGGAGCGAAAGCAUGGGGAGCGAACAGG
RNAcentral lists this ribosomal RNA (253 nucleotides) under uncultured bacterium. RNAcentral describes it as "partial 16S ribosomal RNA". It matches the Rfam family "Bacterial small subunit ribosomal RNA", at positions 524 to 776 of the family's 1533-position model. The record is from RNAcentral.